This 432-nucleotide ribosomal RNA is filed under the name uncultured bacterium. RNAcentral's name for it is "partial 16S ribosomal RNA". It matches the Rfam family "Bacterial small subunit ribosomal RNA", at positions 29 to 507 of the family's 1533-position model. The record is from RNAcentral.
ACGAACGCUGGCGGCAUGCCUAACACAUGCAAGUCGAACGAGACCUUCGGGUCUAGUGGCGCACGGGUGCGUAACGCGUGGGAACCUGCCCUUAGGUUCGGAAUAACUCCCCGAAAGGGGUGCUAAUACCGGAUAAUGUCUUCGGACCAAAGAUUUAUCGCCUUUGGAUGGGCCCGCGUUGGAUUAGCUAGUUGGUAGGGUAAAAGCCUACCAAGGCGACGAUCCAUAGCUGGUCUGAGAGGAUGAUCAGCCACACUGGGACUGAGACACGGCCCAGACUCCUACGGGAGGCAGCAGUGGGGAAUAUUGGACAAUGGGCGAAAGCCUGAUCCAGCAAUGCCGCGUGAGUGAUGAAGGCCUUAGGGUUGUAAAGCUCUUUUACCCGGGAUGAUAAUGAGAGUACCGGGAGAAUAAGCUCCGGCUAACUCCGUG